Molecule: ribosomal RNA, 468 nt
Filed under: uncultured bacterium
Lineage: Bacteria
Description: partial 16S ribosomal RNA
Rfam family: Bacterial small subunit ribosomal RNA
Source: RNAcentral
GACGAACGCUGGCGGCGUGCUUAACACAUGCAAGUCGAACGGAAAGGCCCUGCUUUUGUGGGGUGCUCGAGUGGCGAACGGGUGAGUAACACGUGAGUAACCUGCCCUUGACUUUGGGAUAACUUCAGGAAACUGGGGCUAAUACCGGAUAGGAGCUCCUGCUGCAUGGUGGGGGUUGGAAAGUUUCGGCGGUUGGGGAUGGACUCGCGGCUUAUCAGCUUGUUGGUGGGGUAGUGGCUGACCAAGGCUUUGACGGGUAGCCGGCCUGAGAGGGUGACCGGCCACAUUGGGACUGAGAUACGGCCCAGACUCCUACGGGAGGCGGCAGUGGGGAAUAUUGCACAAUGGGCGGAAGCCUGAUGCAGCAACGCCGCGUGCGGGAUGACGGCCUUCGGGUUGUAAACCGCUUUCGCCUGUGACGAAGCGUGAGUGACGGUAAUGGGUAAAGAAGCACCGGCUAACUACGUG